GCCGGGAUUUGCAGUCACUGAGUUCGUGUCCCUCUGCCUCUCUGAGGGGCGCCGCCGCUCGCCUGGCCAUGGACGAUACCCUGUUCCAGUUGAAGUUCACAGCAAAACAACUGGAGAAACUAGCGAAGAAGGCAGAGAAGGACUCCAAGGCCGAGCAGGCCAAAGUGCAGAAGGCCCUUCAGCAAAAGAAUGUGGAGUGUGCCCGUGUAUAUGCCGAGAAUGCCAUCCGCAAGAAGAAUGAGGGUGUGAACUGGCUGUGCAUGGCAUCCCGUGUGGACGCAGUGGCCUCCAAGGUGCAGACGGCUGUGACCAUGAAAGGGGUGACCAAGAACAUGGCACAAGUGACCAAAGCCCUAGACAAGGCCCUGAGCACCAUGAACCUGCAGAAGCUGUCUGCAGUGAUGGACAGAUUUGAGCAGCAGGUGCAGAACCUGGAUGUACACACAUCGGUGAUGGAAGACUCCAUGAGCUCGGCCACCACACUCACUACGCCUCAGAAGCAAGUGGAUAGCCUUAUUGUGCAGAUUGCCGAGGAGAAUGGCCUAGAGGUACUAGACCAGCUCAGCCAGCUGCCCGAGGGCGCCUCUGCUGUGGGCGAGAGCUCUGUGCGUAGCCAGGAGGACCAGCUGUCUCGGAGGUUGGCUGCCUUGAGGAAUUAGCUGCCCCGCUGUACACUGCCUCCUCCACCCCAUGGAUCUUGCCACUGCCUCAGCUGCUCUCACCUGCAAGGCCCAGGUGGCCCCAGAAUUAUUCCUGUUUUCAUAGAGCGGCAGUGGGCCUCUGUCCUGGUGCUGCAUUUAUACGGA
RNA transcript from Otolemur garnettii (small-eared galago), 806 nucleotides. It is a transcript of the gene named charged multivesicular body protein 1a pseudogene, with no coding region annotated. The record is from RefSeq and is a predicted model, not a curated record. The transcript has a single exon. Lineage: Eukaryota; Metazoa; Chordata; Mammalia; Primates; Galagidae.